This 310-nucleotide ribosomal RNA is filed under the name uncultured Pseudomonadota bacterium. RNAcentral describes it as "bacterial SSU rRNA". It matches the Rfam family "Bacterial small subunit ribosomal RNA", at positions 29 to 351 of the family's 1533-position model. Lineage: Bacteria; Pseudomonadati; Pseudomonadota. The record is from RNAcentral.
AACGAACGCUGGCGGCAGGCUUAACACAUGCAAGUCGAGCGGACCCUUCGGGGUCAGCGGCGGACGGGUGAGUAACGCGUGGGAACGUGCCCCUUUCUUCGGAAUAGCCUCGGGAAACUGGGAGUAAUGCCGAAUACGCCGGGCCAUGGCGACAUGGUUCGGGAAAGAUUUUAUCGGAGAGGGAUCGGCCCGCGUUGGAUUAGGUAGUUGGUGGGGUAAUGGCCUACCAAGCCGACGAUCCAUAGCUGGUUUGAGAGGAUGAUCAGCCACACUGGGACUGAGACACGGCCCAGACUCCUACGGGUGGCAG